Long non-coding RNA from Callithrix jacchus (white-tufted-ear marmoset), 914 nucleotides. RefSeq lists it as uncharacterized. NCBI's taxonomy places the organism in Eukaryota, Metazoa, Chordata, Mammalia, Primates, Cebidae. The record is from RefSeq and is a predicted model, not a curated record.
CUCGCCCAGGGCCUGGCACGGGGCAAGAGCUCAACCAAUGGUGAAUGGUUGUGCUCUAAAUAAAUAACCGUGUCAGAGCAGAGUGGGAAUCAAUUCAGCUUCGUGAGUCCUCUGUGACCUCAACAGCAUUGUUCCAGACCACGUGACAGAGGUGAAGGGGCCUUGGCUGUGAACAGAAGAACUCGCAGAGAUGAGGCCUUGCUAUGUCACCAGGCUGGCCCUCCCACCUCAGCCUCACGAAGUGCUGAGAGUACAGGCAUGAGCCAUCAUGCUGGGACAAUUUACAUCUGUUAAUAGAAGAAACCAACUUAUGAAACGUACUCGGCCCUAACUCAGGUGACCUAAGUAGGAUCUGAAGAAUUAUCCUCAUACCCUACCUCAAAAAAAAGGGUGAGCUCGCCUCGGAUGGCUUUUGGGAAAACUGUCUUCAGCUCUACAUGCCACAGGGAUUUCUAGACAAUCACCCAAGAGCAAAACUUGAGCUCCACGGAAGACGCACCACCAACGCCCUAUUCCAGAUGAGAAGAGCAGAGCACGGAGAGGUCAGGAGACCCACCAAGGCUGGCUUGUCUCAAACUCUUGGACUCAAGUGAUCAUCCCGCCUCGGCCUCUCCGUGGCGUAAGCCACCGCAUCAGGCCCUGCCCUGCGCUUUAUAAGAUGCUCCAGUUUCCAUCACUCGACCUGACCAGGCACCUUUAAAUGUCCACACUCAAGACCUGACCCUCUCAAGCGCCUGAAGUCAAAGACAUCUUUGGUCCUUAAAAAACAAAAUUCCUCCCAUAGUCUGAAGCCAUGAAAGGUUCUGGCCGCCUGGACGCUUAUUUGCUUUUGACAGUUCUGUCGUAUGUGCAGCUUUUGCUGUGAGCCACCUCAAAUGCUCUUUUGGAAGUAGGUGUGGUAUAAAUAAUAAAUA